CUUCUGUCUGUGGUACAAACGUUAUUAUACGUCAGUGGUACAACACGGAAGAAGGUAUUCGCUUCAAUAAUUUGACUCUUCUGCUUGUUCACUUCGAAUAACUACAUGUCUAUUCUUCCUCAAGAAGAAUUGGUCAAGAAAUGGGAAAGUGAACAGGCCAGCCUCAGGCAGCAGGUGGUGGAGGAGGACACAGAGGAUUGGCAGAGAUGUCCCGACUUCACCGGGCUGGAGAGGGUUGGAGGAGUGGACCUGUCGUUUAUCAAAGGAGAUGACGUCAACGCCUGUGCCCAGCUAGUGGUGCUUAGCUACCCAGACCUAGAGCUGCUGUAUGAGGACAGUCAGAUGGUGACCCUGACCGCCCCCUACAUCUCAGGGUUCCUGGCCUUCAGGGAGACCCCCUAUCUGCUGGAGGCCCUGCAGCGCCUGGAGACGACCCAGCCCAGCCUGCUUCCUCAGGUGGUCUUGGUGGAUGGGAAUGGUCUGUUUCACUACAGAGAGUUUGGUCUGGCGUGUCACCUGGGAGUUCUGUCAGGGCUUCCCUGUAUAGGUGUGGCCAAGAACCUCCUGCAGGUGCAGGGUGUGGAGAAGAACGAGGAACACCAGUCACAGAUUGCCUCAUUGCAGAAGGGAGGAGAGAGCUUCCCUCUGACUAGCGACUCAGGAAAAGUUCUGGGGAAGGCCCUGCGUAGUUCUGACAGCAGUACCAAACCAGUGUAUGUUUCAGUGGGCCACAAGAUCAGCCUGGACACGGACCUGCGCCCCACACACUCCUGCUACCGUGUCCCAGAGCCUAUCAGACAGGCGGACAUGCGCUCCAGAGAGUACCUCCGUGUCCACUUCCCAACUGCUGCAGACACCUGAGCAUAGAGGAGAUUGGGAGGUGUUUCAGCAGACACACACACAGAGGUAUGAAAUUGACUGAGGAGGAUGAUCCUCCCCCUCCUCCUCAGUGAGGAGCCACUGGUGUGAGGUGAGAGCUCCUCGGAUGGAGCGAGGGAGGGAGAGGGGGAAGGACGGAAGGCUAAGGCAGCCUUAGAUCCAGAGAUCAUCCUCCCAAACAACAGUCAGUGCCCCAUCAUCCCCUCCUUUUAUGCUGGGAAGUGGACACAUCAUGAAAUGCAAAACACAACAGUGAUGCCUGACAAGAAGAUACCCGAAGAGCCUUCAACGUGCCUGUUAGUGUGUGAAUGUGUUUUUGUGUGUGAGAGAGUGAGUGGGUGCAUGAGAGAGAUUUACAUGAGAUUUACAGUGUUUUUAUGCCAUUCUCUUUAUAUCUACAGUAUAGGUCUAUGGGUAUUUUUAAGAUUAGAAGAAUAUAUUUAUAUACUGUACUCAUGUUUUGGGUUCUUUUUACACAGAAAUGCUUUUUAUCCUGUAAAUAAAUCCCAACUGAGCCCUGAA
Salvelinus sp. IW2-2015 is the source of this 1401-nucleotide RNA transcript. It is a transcript of the gene named endonuclease V, with no coding region annotated. NCBI's taxonomy places the organism in Eukaryota, Metazoa, Chordata, Actinopteri, Salmoniformes, Salmonidae. The record is from RefSeq and is a predicted model, not a curated record.